CGGCGGACGGGUGAGUAACGCGUGGGUAACCUGCCUCAUACAGGGGGAUAACAGUUAGAAAUGACUGCUAAUACCGCAUAAGACCACGGUACCACAUGGUACAGUGGUAAAAACUCCGGUGGUAUGAGAUGGACCCGCGUCUGAUUAGGUAGUUGGUGGGGUAACGGCCUACCAAGCCGACGAUCAGUAGCCGACCUGAGAGGGUGACCGGCCACAUUGGGACUGAGACACGGCCCAA
This 238-nucleotide ribosomal RNA is filed under the name uncultured bacterium. RNAcentral's name for it is "partial 16S ribosomal RNA". It matches the Rfam family "Bacterial small subunit ribosomal RNA", at positions 96 to 334 of the family's 1533-position model. The record is from RNAcentral.